Molecule: non-coding RNA, 513 nt
Organism: Paramuricea clavata
Lineage: Eukaryota; Metazoa; Cnidaria; Anthozoa; Malacalcyonacea; Plexauridae
Source: the annotation of a GenBank genome assembly
UCUAAAGCGGCCGCCAUUUUGCAAAAACGUAAAUUAGUUACGCGAGAUGAUGAAGUCGGCUAGCUGCGAGCUGUUUUUGCAAUGAGUGAGAGCCUUAAGACUGGUGGGGUUGUGAAAACAUCAUCAAAUAGAUACGACUUACAUGUUCAAAAUAACAGAUCAGUAUAAAAGUAUUAAAAUUUCUAUUUACAUGACAAUUUUAAGAGUGAGUGUUUCUAGAUAUUAACAUCGUAGCAUCAAGACGUUCAUGCAGGGACGUAGGGAAGUCGGCUGAAGUUGGGGGAGGAUUUUACGGUUUUUACCUGAAAUUUGAACUCAAUGUUAAAAAUUUACCUGAAGUGUAAUAAUUAUAAUAGAGCUUUUUAUGAUUGAUUUCCACUGUCAUACUAAGUUUGCGAAGAAAGGGGGGGUCGAGAGGUCCUCCCCCAGAAAAUUUUUAUAUUCAUUUGAAGCCCCAGGACUGUAUUUCUUGCCGUUCUAAAGCAAAUUCGCAAACGAAUUGGAUCUAAAUGG